GGGGCUGUGACUCAGAGGUAGAGCACUUGGUUUGUAUGCAGAAGAACCCAGGUUUAAUCCCUGGCAUCUCCA
RNAcentral lists this transfer RNA (72 nucleotides) under Sphaerodactylus townsendi. RNAcentral describes it as "tRNA-Thr". It matches the Rfam family "tRNA". From Rfam's summary of the family: Transfer RNA (tRNA) molecules are approximately 80 nucleotides in length. Their secondary structure includes four short double-helical elements and three loops (D, anti-codon, and T loops). Further hydrogen bonds mediate the characteristic L-shaped molecular structure. tRNAs have two regions of fundamental functional importance: the anti-codon, which is responsible for specific mRNA codon recognition, and the 3' end, to which the tRNAs corresponding amino acid is attached (by aminoacyl-tRNA synthetases). tRNAs cope with the degeneracy of the genetic code in two manners: having more than one tRNA (with a specific anti-codon) for a particular amino acid; and 'wobble' base-pairing, i.e. permitting non-standard base-pairing at the 3rd anti-codon position. Lineage: Eukaryota; Metazoa; Chordata; Lepidosauria; Squamata; Sphaerodactylidae. The record is from RNAcentral.